GACUUGAAGAUAAAAGAUAGAGAUAUACAAGUUCAAAAGCGCCAAAACUCUGUCAAAUUGAUUCUACAAAGCACACUGAAUUUCUGCACUGAUUUGAUACAUCUUAGAAAUUCAAAGUCUAGAGUCUUUAUUGUAUUGUAUUGUGAACACCACUGAUUGUAUAUCAAGUGUUCAAGUCAAACUCAAUUCUCUGUAUUUUUGUUUGAUCAGAAGUCUCUUGCCUGCGUGCUUGAGCAUUAGAAGUCUCUUGCUUAGUGCUUGAGCAUUGGAAGACUCUUGCGUGUGUGCUUGAGCAUUUUUGUGAAGUCUCAUACUUAGAAAGUAUUGAGCAUUUGUAAUCUUUGUGAUUAUAGUGAAAUCUC
Molecule: long non-coding RNA, 362 nt
Filed under: Medicago truncatula (barrel medic)
Lineage: Eukaryota; Viridiplantae; Streptophyta; Magnoliopsida; Fabales; Fabaceae
Description: long non-coding RNA (MTRU_LNC003941)
Source: RNAcentral